This 84-nucleotide transfer RNA is filed under the name Candidatus Aenigmatarchaeota archaeon. RNAcentral describes it as "tRNA-Ser". It matches the Rfam family "tRNA". Rfam says of the family: Transfer RNA (tRNA) molecules are approximately 80 nucleotides in length. Their secondary structure includes four short double-helical elements and three loops (D, anti-codon, and T loops). The record is from RNAcentral. Lineage: Archaea; Nanobdellati; Candidatus Aenigmatarchaeota. RNAcentral also lists the same sequence under 2 other names.
GCAGAGGUCGCUUAGCCAGGUAGAGCGCUGGACUUGAGAUCCAGUGAGUCUCGACUCACGGGUGUUCGAAUCACCCUCUCUGCG